Molecule: unclassified non-coding RNA, 555 nt
Filed under: Drosophila yakuba
Lineage: Eukaryota; Metazoa; Arthropoda; Insecta; Diptera; Drosophilidae
Description: GE11991
Source: RNAcentral
UUAUUUGAUUUUCAAGUAUCAAGUUAACAGCAUCUAGCUCCCAUAUCGUUCUAUAUUUUACAUAGAUUUUUUAAGUUUUAUUUCACAAGGAAAAUGGUGUCCUUUGGCGGUGUGGCAAAACUUUUGAGUAGCUUCGAGUGCAGUGCCAGUACGUGGGUCAAGGCCGUGAAUCCCGGAUGGUACGAGGCUCGUGAGAUUCCGAAGACCAUCCUGAUCCAGAAAGUGCGACAAGUGCCGGAGAACACCAGGGUGAUUCGUCAGCGUCCCCAAACAGCAGAGCCGCCCAAGAAAGCCCCCAACCAGAGGCGCCAACUAAAUCUCUAAGCUCCAACGAGUUAGGGAUAUAAUCACUCAUUGAUUUAAAUGUUUUAAACGAAUGCUGAUUGUGUUGAGUUGUCUCGCUGCCGUCAUCGAUUUCAGCAUUUUGUCUGCUCCGCGACACGGCCACACUGAGUCGGUGCCGAGUUUUUGCUUCGCGAGCAGGUGGUGUUGUCCAAUCAGAAUAGCCGUCGACGGCACGAUUAACACAAAAAAAAAAGAAAAAAAAUUCCAAUA